Marmota monax (woodchuck) is the source of this 413-nucleotide long non-coding RNA. RefSeq lists it as uncharacterized. The transcript has 2 exons. The record is from RefSeq and is a predicted model, not a curated record. NCBI's taxonomy places the organism in Eukaryota, Metazoa, Chordata, Mammalia, Rodentia, Sciuridae.
UUUACACACCUCUGAGACAACCCAACUGCAACCCUGCACACCAAAUUGGCAUCUUUAUGUACAGGAAUCUGAACUAGGGCCCAGGGUGCAAUCAGAAAACGUGGAGGAACGUAAUUUGCAUAGAUAGAUCCUCCCCUUCUCAGACUAUGAAUAAGGCAAGAGAGAAAGUUGGGGGAACCUCUGCUCAGCAUCAGGAACAGAAGGCACAGCUCAGGAUAACUUUCAUCAUGGCUUGGUCCUGUCUGCUCUUCACAUUCCUCAUUCAGUGCACAGGGUCCUGGGCCCAGUCUGUGCUGACUCAGCAGCCCUCACUAUCUGGGAAUCCAGGUCAAAGGGUCACCAUCUCCUGCACUUGAAGCAGCAACAAUAUUGGUGGUAAUUAUGUGCACUGGUACCAACAGCUCCAAGAAAAG